GACGUAGGACCCGAGCGUUAUCCGGAUUUACUGGGCGUAAAGCGCGCGUAGGCGGCUUUCUAAGUUGGUUGUGACAGCCCCGGGCUCAACUCGGGGAAGCCGGUCAAGACUGGAAGGCUUGAGAGCAGCAGAGGUUGGUGGAAUUCCCGGUGGAGUGGUGAAAUGCGUAGAGAUCGGGAGGAACACCAGUGGCGAAAGCGGCCAACUGGGCUGACUCUGACGCUGAGGUGCGAAAGCGUGGGGAGCGAACGGG
This 253-nucleotide ribosomal RNA is filed under the name uncultured bacterium. Its description in RNAcentral is "partial 16S ribosomal RNA". It matches the Rfam family "Bacterial small subunit ribosomal RNA", at positions 524 to 776 of the family's 1533-position model. The record is from RNAcentral.